RNAcentral lists this transfer RNA (74 nucleotides) under Binatia bacterium. RNAcentral describes it as "tRNA-Arg". It matches the Rfam family "tRNA". From Rfam's summary of the family: Transfer RNA (tRNA) molecules are approximately 80 nucleotides in length. Their secondary structure includes four short double-helical elements and three loops (D, anti-codon, and T loops). Further hydrogen bonds mediate the characteristic L-shaped molecular structure. tRNAs have two regions of fundamental functional importance: the anti-codon, which is responsible for specific mRNA codon recognition, and the 3' end, to which the tRNAs corresponding amino acid is attached (by aminoacyl-tRNA synthetases). tRNAs cope with the degeneracy of the genetic code in two manners: having more than one tRNA (with a specific anti-codon) for a particular amino acid; and 'wobble' base-pairing, i.e. permitting non-standard base-pairing at the 3rd anti-codon position. The record is from RNAcentral. Lineage: Bacteria; Candidatus Binatota; Binatia (SeqCode).
GCCCCCGUAGCUCAGUUGGACAGAGCACAGGAUUCCUAAUCCUGGGGUCGCGCGUUCGAAUCGCGCCGGGGGCA